CUUCGGCCCGAGUUGUAAUUUGCAGAGGAUGUUUAUGGUGCGGUACCUUCCGAGUUCCCUGGAACGGGACGCCACAGAGGGUGAGAGCCCCGUCUGGUUGGAUACCAAACCUGUGUUAAACUCCUUCAACGAGUCGAGUAGUUUGGGAAUGCUGCUCUAAAUGGGAGGUAAAUCUCUUCUAAAGCUAAAUACCGGCCAGAGACCGAUAGCGCACAAGUAGAGUGAUCGAAAGAUGAAAAGCACCUUGAAAAGGGGGUUAAACAGUACGUGAAAUUGUUAAAAGGGAAGCGUUUAUGACCAGACUUGUGUCGUGUGGCUCAUCCGAGGUUCUCCCCGGUGCACUCCACACGGCUCAGGCCAACAUCGGUUCUCGUUGGGGGAUAAGAACAGCAGGAACGUGGCCCUCUUCGGAGGGUGUUAUAGCCUGCUGUACGAUACCCUGAUGGGGACCGAGGACCGCGCUUCGGCUAGGAUGUUGGCGUAAUGGUCAUUAGCGACCCGUCUUGAAACACGGACCAAGGAGUCGUCCAUUAGAGCGAGCGUUUGGGUGUAAAACCCGCACGCGUAAUGAAAGUGAAAUUAGGUGAGAGCUUCGGCGCAUCAUCGACCGAUCCUGAAGUUUACGGAUGGAUUUGAGUAAGAGUUUUAACGGACGGACCCGAAAGACAGUGAACUAUGCUUGAAUAGGGUGAAGCCAGAGGAAACUCUGGUGGAGGCUCGCAGCGGUUCUGACGUGCAAAUCGAUCGUCAAAUUUGAGCAUGGGGGCGAAAGACUAAUCGAAC
RNAcentral lists this ribosomal RNA (783 nucleotides) under Gnomoniopsis clavulata. RNAcentral describes it as "eukaryotic LSU rRNA". It matches the Rfam family "Eukaryotic large subunit ribosomal RNA", at positions 131 to 940 of the family's 3401-position model. The record is from RNAcentral. Lineage: Eukaryota; Fungi; Ascomycota; Sordariomycetes; Diaporthales; Gnomoniaceae.